UACCCACUCGGUACCACCUUUGGUGUUCAAUUGCUUCCCUUCCUCCCCAGCCCACUGGUUUGAGGUCCGGGGUAGACAGAAGGAUUUCAUGUGCAAUAUGGGGACACACUGGCGUUGCGGCGUAUGCUGAGCACGGAUAAUCAAGUUUUUGACAAGUUCCUGAAGGACCAGUACCUGCUUAACCAGUGUUUCCAGGUCAUACAGGAAGUGUGUGAUAAAGCUGGGAACUGAAUCCAGAUUGCCACAGACCCAGUCCACUACUUAUCCACAAGAGCAUCCUUCCUUCCACAUAGAAAUGGAGAGACCAGAGUUCCUUUUAGACAUUUAUACAUCUAGUAGCACAACAGCCACAGAAUGAGAUUGUCAAAUGGCAAAGCCAGUGCGGGAUGGCUGCAGAUGUUGUUGGCACUGCUACGUAAGUGCAGAGGAAAUCUGAUGAAUGACUAAUGACUAGCAAGACGAAAGUUGAAAACACUAAGACAUACACAGUGCUACAUAAGAUAUUUUGGAAGGUAGCAAGCUUUAGUCACUAAAGGGUGCUGACUCACUGUCCAAUUUGCCUUCAGAAGUUCUUUGUGUUUAUUUGCCAUCAGAACCUCCAAAGGUUAAAAUUUGAACCAGAUCUUUAGAGCCAUUCCCUGCAAAGGGUCCAUCAAAACCUUAAGCAGAGAGCACAGAUAAACUAACCGUGCAAUCUCUGCACAUCUACCAUGUUUUGAAAGAGAUAAAAAAAGACUGAGCAUCUGUUUUAAACACCUGCCUAAGUGCAGAGCAGUGGUAAACCAGGUCACACCAACGUGCAUGCUAAUAAGCAUCUUGUAGCACUAUUCAUGGUUUUAGGAAGAACAGUGAGAAGCAUUUAAUGUUCUCUUUUCUAGUCCU
Trachemys scripta elegans is the source of this 882-nucleotide long non-coding RNA. RefSeq lists it as uncharacterized. The record is from RefSeq and is a predicted model, not a curated record. The transcript is spliced from 4 exons. NCBI's taxonomy places the organism in Eukaryota, Metazoa, Chordata, Testudines, Emydidae.